This 818-nucleotide long non-coding RNA is filed under the name Fukomys damarensis (Damara mole-rat). Its description in RNAcentral is "lncRNA (ENSFDAG00000028397.1)". Lineage: Eukaryota; Metazoa; Chordata; Mammalia; Rodentia; Bathyergidae. The record is from RNAcentral.
GUGGGGACAGGAAGUAGAAUGGCGGGGACAGGAAGUAGAAUGGCGGGGCCAGGGAUCGGGAGCCUUAGCAGUGAAGGGGGACAGUUUCAGUUGGGGAGGUGAGACCGCUCUGCAGACAAGGGUGAUGCCUCACGCCUGCUGGAGCCACACUUCAGACGGCCCCGGGGCUGAUGUUCUGUAGGCGCCCUGAGAUGAACGAAACCUCAACCACGGCAGCCGGGACGGAUGCGGACCGAUGGGGGUGUCACUCGCUCUCACCGGCGCAGUGGGAUGCCUGCUGCAGGCCCGCCAGGGACGAGGCACGGUGAGAGGGACAGGUGCCACCUCCCCUCCAUCUGUGGGCCAGGUGCCAUCUUCCCGGCCAGCCCGAGAGGUCACCCAGGGGACAGGCUCCUGGCGGGAGGCCGUCAGCUGCCAAGAUGUCACCACUCAAAGCCCGAAGGGAGCAGGAAUGCAGAAGAGGUGUGACGCCAGUGUCAUCCAAAGCCGAAGCGCCAGGGGCUUGGCCCACUUCAAAGGCCAGGCCAAGGAAGAGGAGCGGGAGGAUCGGAUUGCACCUGACAGGCAUCAGGCGCCCCUUGUGGAGCACAGCCCUCUGCCAUUUGAUGCAAUUCAGACACCGGGAAGAGGAGCUCAGAGUCACUGACGACCCCUCCCAGUUCCCCAAUGAGAGCCUCACACCACCCUGGCAGAGGAAGCUGCAGGUGAGACGUGUCUUUGCCAUGAAACGCUCCCCUGGGCUCUGUGGAGGCUGUGAACCCAGCGUGGACCUUUUCCGGGUGCCCCACUUGUCCCAGCACUGCCCUUCAAGGCAAAGG